This 349-nucleotide ribosomal RNA is filed under the name uncultured Thermus sp. RNAcentral describes it as "bacterial SSU rRNA". It matches the Rfam family "Bacterial small subunit ribosomal RNA", at positions 1033 to 1382 of the family's 1533-position model. The record is from RNAcentral. Lineage: Bacteria; Thermotogati; Deinococcota; Deinococci; Thermales; Thermaceae.
CACAGGUGCUGCAUGGCCGUCGUCAGCUCGUGCCGUGAGGUGUUGGGUUAAGUCCCGCAACGAGCGCAACCCCGCCGUUAGUUGCCAGCGGUUCGGCCGGGCACUCUAACGGGACUGCCCGCGAAAAGCGGGAGGAAGGAGGGGACGACGUCUGGUCAGCAUGGCCCUUACGGCCUGGGCGACACACGUGCUACAAUGCCCACUACAAAGCGAUGCCACCCGGCAACGGGGAGCUAAUCGCAAAAAGGUGGGCCCAGUUCGGAUUGGGGUCUGCAACCCGACCCCAUGAAGCCGGAAUCGCUAGUAAUCGCGGAUCAGCCAUGCCGCGGUGAAUACGUUCCCGGGCCUU